This 468-nucleotide ribosomal RNA is filed under the name uncultured bacterium. Its description in RNAcentral is "partial 16S ribosomal RNA". It matches the Rfam family "Bacterial small subunit ribosomal RNA", at positions 28 to 507 of the family's 1533-position model. The record is from RNAcentral.
GACGAACGCUGGCGGCGUGCUUAACACAUGCCAGUCGAACGGAAAGGCCCUGCUUUUGUGGGGUGCUCGAGUGGCGAACGGGUGAGUAACACGUGAGUAACCUGCCCUUGACUUUGGGAUAACUUCAGGAAACUGGGGCUAAUACCGGAUAGGAGCUCCUGCUGCAUGGUGGGGGUUGGAAAGUUUCGGCGGUUGGGGAUGGACUCGCGGCUUAUCAGCUUGUUGGUGGGGUAGUGGCUUACCAAGGCUUUGACGGGUAGCCGGCCUGAGAGGGUGACCGGCCACAUUGGGACAGAGAUACGGCCCAGACUCCUACGGGAGGCAGCAGUGGGGAAUAUUGCACAAUGGGCGGAAGCCUGAUGCAGCAACGCCGCGUGCGGGAUGACGGCCUUCGGGUUGUAAACCGCUUUCGCCUGUGACGAAGCGUGAGUGACGGUAAUGGGUAAAGAAGCACCGGCUAACUACGUG